This 405-nucleotide ribosomal RNA is filed under the name uncultured bacterium. RNAcentral describes it as "partial 16S ribosomal RNA". It matches the Rfam family "Bacterial small subunit ribosomal RNA", at positions 28 to 526 of the family's 1533-position model. The record is from RNAcentral.
GACGAACGCUGGCGGCGUGCUUAACACAUGCAAGUCGAGCGGAGCGGCGAACGGGUGAGUAACGCGUGAGUAACUGCCCCCCUCUCUGGGAUCACAGUUGGAAACGGUUGCUAUUACCGGAUAGUGGGGGAUGACUCGCGUCCUAUCAGCUUGUUGGUGGGGUGAUGGCCUACCAAGGCGGUGACGGGUAGCCGGCCUGAGAGGGUGACCGGCCACAUUGGGCUGCGAUGCGGCCCAGGCUCCUACGCGAGGCAGCAGUGGGGGAUAUUGCACAAUGGGCGAAAGCCUGAUGCAGCGACGCCGCGUGGGGGAUGAGGGCUUUCGGGUUGUAAACCUCUUUCGCUAUCGAAAGGGUAGGUGGAGAAGAAGCGCCGGCUAACUACGUGCCAGCCGCCGCGGUAAUUC